Molecule: ribosomal RNA, 59 nt
Filed under: Calogaya decipiens
Lineage: Eukaryota; Fungi; Ascomycota; Lecanoromycetes; Teloschistales; Teloschistaceae
Description: partial 28S ribosomal RNA
Source: RNAcentral
UUGACCUCGGAUCAGGUAGGGAUACCCGCUGAACUUAAGCAUAUCAAUAGCNGGGAAGG